Molecule: ribosomal RNA, 275 nt
Filed under: uncultured bacterium
Lineage: Bacteria
Description: partial 16S ribosomal RNA
Rfam family: Bacterial small subunit ribosomal RNA
Source: RNAcentral
CUAAGUUUGAUGGCGACCGGCGCACGGGUGAGUAACACGUAUCCAACCUGCCGAUGACUCGGGGAUAGCCUUUCGAAAGAAAGAUUAAUACCCGAUGGCAUAGUUCUUCCGCAUGGUGGAACUAUUAAAGAAUUUCGGUCAUCGAUGGGGAUGCGUUCCAUUAGGUUGUUGGCGGGGUAACGGCCCACCUAGUCUUCGAUGGAUAGGGGUUCUGAGAGGAAGGUCCCCCACAUUGGAACUGAGACACGGUCCAAACUCCUACGGGAGGCAGCAUG